RNAcentral lists this long non-coding RNA (3694 nucleotides) under Patiria miniata (bat star). RNAcentral's name for it is "uncharacterized LOC119727672". Lineage: Eukaryota; Metazoa; Echinodermata; Asteroidea; Valvatida; Asterinidae. The record is from RNAcentral.
ACUAUAUACACCGACUCGGUAUAAUUCCACUUAAAUAUUCCACUUUUAUUUGAGUGUAUAUGGGAUCACAGUAUUCAUUCUUCAAUUAUAACAAAAGAGGAUCAAUGUACAGAGUAUAAUUAUGGCAAAUAAUGUACCCUAAAAUCUUCAAACGAAAGAAUUAAAAUCCAUUUAUGCAAGUAUGCCACUACAACCCACCUCUAUUUUGAUUGCUAUAAUGCUAUGCGUACACAUAUUCCACAUUACUUUGAAAUGCCAUUCUAUGCCAGACGGUUUUGAACCAAAAAAAAAAUCAUAUACAUUACCGCCAGAAAAUACAUUUUCAAGUUGUAAAAUGAAGCAAUGUUCUUAUUACAUGAUUUAAAUACUUAGUAAGUUCGAGUAGAAAUAAUCACAAAUAUAAAACGAAGUUCAAUUCUGUAUCAUAUUUAAAACUCUCACGUGCCGGUAGUUUAUACCUUUGGGUAAACUUAGAGGUACUAAACUUAACGAGAAGCGUAAUACAAAGCUGAAAUUAUCACAUUUCGAAAGUUGCUCAGAGAAUGCCCACUUCAUUUCUCUCAAGAAGUUUUGUUACUCAAUAAAAAGUUAGCAUUGGAAACGGAGUGUGUUAUCAUGUGAGCGAAGUUGCCCAUGGUCUCCUCUACAGGCUUUUUAAUUUCUCAAAAAGAUGGGGGACGGAGGUUCCACGACUUUCCAUCAGAAAUAAUCCAGGAAAUUUCCAACGGGUUUUACUAACUCCAGUGGAACAAAGCAUGCUUCAUUUUUUUUUACGGCAACAUAAUCUAAUUUCUGUCACUCUAACUCGUUUACAGCAACACCAGACUCAACAUUUUUCGAACUUUCUCGGACGGAAUUUCCGGUGCCAGUUUUGUUUGUAGUUUUUAUAAUACGGUGAACUCUCCUCGUUAAAAACCAAUCUGAUUUAAAGGGAAAGAAAUACAGCUUUGUGCACAGAACACACACAAAAAAGAGCCCAACAUUUUGUACGGACAAUUCUGCACGAUUCACAAGAGUCCUGAAGUAAAAUGAUGCUUUUUACAUAUUGCUGCAGUAUCUCGCUCAACACAAAAAAAGAUAGUGCUUCAAACCGAGUGCAUUGUAUCUAACUUCCACUAAUUACACAGAAUAAAACAACUCCUGGCUUUCUAUGAUUAUCGUUGUAAAUGUGUGUCCAGAUGGCAUGGGCAUUUCUAGGGUUUCAAUUUCAAAAGAAACUAAACUCCACACGCACACUACCGGAAUGGACCGAUCCAGUAAGCUCCGCCCAGUGCACACGUGGGCAAAUUAACACGUGCUCCUCUCCAAUGCCACGCUGCAUUUUCCUUCCGCGCGCAUCAUACGCGCGUGCACGCAUGUCGGACUUUAGUGCACGCGCGUCAGACAUAAAUCACGGCUGUGAUUGGUCAGAACACCAUGGGGCGGUGCUUACUGGAUCGGUCCAUUUAUGAACUAUUACAGUAAGUGGAUAGUCUUGCAUAUAGGCCUUCUGUACAUUCAAUAUUACAUUACAGAUCACAUAAAACGGUAUGCAUAUAAUUAUUUCAUCGAAGUUUACAGUUUCAAAUUUCAUUACAGACAAACUUCCAUUCCUCGACACACAACACACAACCACACCAGUUUUUUUCUCGGUAUUAUUACACCCUACAACUUUGGACAUUAGAUAUAGUUUUGCUGAUGAUUUUUUUUUCUGUACAAGUUACAGCAAAUUUCGCUGGUACCUGGCGAACUCUACUUGGGAAUUCUCCUUUGUGUGAAUAGUAUUAACAAUUAACUACUGUAUCAGUUGAACUAGCCCCACAAAUAAAUGUGGCUCAAAAACCGAUAUUCCUCCGUUUGUGAGCCACACAGUGGUCCUGUGCUAUUUAUGGGGAAAAGUUGAUUUUGAGGAAAUCCAAUUUCAGUUCUAUUUUUUUCACUUGAUAUUCACCAUGGAAGAUACUUGCCUGCUUAUUAGCCAGCAAAAAUAAAAUUCUGUUUCGGUAGUUGUUUAGUUAUCCUGUAAUUUUAUGGCAAAAUUUACAGUGAGUUUGUCCAAAAAAGAGUGCAGUAACUUUCUCUGGGUCACAGGUCAUGUACACUUGACCUUUUAAUUUUCCCUGGUUAUUAAUGAUGUAAGUAUCUUCCAUAUUGACUAUGAAGUAAAAACAAAAAUAGUCCCGAUUUCAAUUUCCUUAAAAUCAACUUUCCCACAAAUAGCAUAUGACCACUAUGUAGCUCACAAUAUGGAGGAAGUCCAGUAUUUGAGCGCCAUUUAUGGGCUACAGUCGGGCCAGGUCACAUUUCUUCAAGGGAUUUUGAUUUUAAGAUGGACAAAUGUAUCUUCUAACAGUCACAAUGGUUUACUAUUGAGCGAACACAACCGAAACAACUGGUACUGCUGCUACUCGCAAUCACUGACUUCCAAGCAGUGAAAUGGCCGGGAACCAGCUAAACUUUACAGUACUUGAAAUCUAACGACUGCCAACAAUAUGUAAUAAAUCAAGUCUCUUAUUAUCGUCGGAUAUGUAACAUUUACAGGAAAAAAACCCGACAAAUUUGCUUGCAUAUCACUGACUUCUUCCACUUAUUCUUGCUUGGUUUAAAUAACCAGAACGGAUAAAUUAUAGUAGUCUUUGACUUGCCACGAAAUGUUCAUGUAGUCCAGAGAAGAUAAAAUUCAAAUUAGACUUGUUUCACAACUUUUUUUGGUAACUUACACUAUUUCCUUGACCAUUAAAACGAGCAUCAUCUACCCAUCAAUUUUGAAACCUCACUCGGUUUUGACAUCCUGAUGAAUAUGGACAUUACUUAGGUGAUCCAACAACAGCGAGAUACUAAUUUUUUAUUUGUGCGAGACUUUUUAAAUGCCUGUAACUCGAAAAGUAGCCCUAGCAACCUUGGGCACUUCUUGCUAGAUUGCUUGACCAACAAUAGUCUGGAAAAUAUUAAAACAUUUUUUUCUUAAAUAUGUGCAGUGGCUUUCUAUUGCACACACGGAAUCGGACACAAAAUGGCUUCAAAGUGCCGAGCACAAGUUUUUCAAACCAUCACCACAAUGCUACUUUAAAAGUGCAAUUCAUAAAAUUUGAGUAUUAAUCCAUUGAAGAGUUUUUUAAACUUGUCCCGAGGAAAAUACUUUUGAGCCACGCUUUGCUAGGCAAUGAAAUGGAAACAAACAAGUUUUCCCACCAGGCAUUUGAAACUAAGCCCAGACGCAAUAAGCCAGUUCGGUAUCUCGAUGAAGUAGUCCAGGUCAAAGGUCAUUCAAGAUAAACUCACUGACGCGAUGUAACGCAAACACCCAUUCUGCUCGUAAUUAACGCGCAAGUGUUGUGCAACCGUCACUUUGCGAGUUUAAGCGCCUUUGAUGGGCGUUCGAUUAUCACAAAUGACAUGUGACCUAUAUUAUCAUGCACAGUUGAAAUACGAAACUGGCUUAUUGCAAUAUGUUAUUACUGGUGUCAUAUUAAUGAAAAGUUCUUCAGUCCCUUUUAAAUAUUGACUCAUAUUCGAGCGAUUCAAAGUACAGGCAAAUGUUGACCUAGAUGUGAAAAUUGCCACACAUAUGUAAAAAAAAAAAACGCUGAAAAUCAUGUAAAGUUGGUAAGAAGCUGUUUGGUAAGAAGCUGUGAAAGCCAGAAAAUGCAUAGACGUCGUGCAAUACCAAACUAAUUGUCAUCAAAAUUAUAAACUAAUAAUCAAUCCUUGUAGG